GUAGGUGGCAAGCGUUGUCCGGAAUUAUUGGGCGUAAAGCGCGCGCAGGCGGUCCUUUAAGUCUGAUGUGAAAGCCCACGGCUCAACCGUGGAGGGUCAUUGGAAACUGGGGGACUUGAGUACAGAAGAGGAAAGCGGAAUUCCAAGUGUAGCGGUGAAAUGCGUGGAGAUUUGGAGGAACACCAGUGGCGAAGGCGGUUUUCUGGUCUGUAACUGACGCUGAGGCGCGAAAGCGUGGGGAGCAAACAGGAUUAGAUACCCUGGUAGUCCACGCCGUAAACGAUGAGUGCUAAGUGUUAGGGGGUUUCCCGCCCCCUUAGUGCUGCAGCUAACGCAUUAAGCACUCCGCCUGGGGGAGUACGGCCGCAAGGCUG
This 374-nucleotide ribosomal RNA is filed under the name uncultured organism. Its description in RNAcentral is "partial 16S ribosomal RNA". It matches the Rfam family "Bacterial small subunit ribosomal RNA", at positions 527 to 896 of the family's 1533-position model. The record is from RNAcentral.